AACGAACGCUGGCGGCAGGCUUAACACAUGCAAGUCGAACGGGCGUAGCAAUACGUCAGUGGCAGACGGGUGAGUAACGCGUGGGAACGUACCUUUUGGUUCGGAACAACCCAGGGAAACUUGGGCUAAUACCGGAUAAGCCCUUACGGGGAAAGAUUUAUCGCCGAAAGAUCGGCCCGCGUCUGAUUAGCUAGUUGGUGUGGUAACGGCGCACCAAGGCGACGAUCAGUAGCUGGUCUGAGAGGAUGAUCAGCCACAUUGGGACUGAGACACGGCCCAAACUCCUACGGGAGGCAGCAGUGGGGAAUAUUGCACAAUGGGCGAAAGCCUGAUGCAGCGACGCCGCGUGAGGGAUGACGGCCUCGGUUG
RNAcentral lists this ribosomal RNA (369 nucleotides) under uncultured bacterium. RNAcentral describes it as "bacterial SSU rRNA". It matches the Rfam family "Bacterial small subunit ribosomal RNA", at positions 29 to 425 of the family's 1533-position model. The record is from RNAcentral.